This 21-nucleotide non-coding RNA is filed under the name Mus musculus (house mouse). The record is from RNAcentral. Lineage: Eukaryota; Metazoa; Chordata; Mammalia; Rodentia; Muridae.
UGCAGGUUGGCACAAUGGCCC